CACGCCCAUAACUUAAUAAGAACAUAAUGCCCACCCCAAGCAAUUCUCAGCAUGAAAAGAUAUCCCGGAAGCUAAAGAAAAGAAUAAGAAGCAAUCAACCGAGUUUCUGCUUCUCCAAAAUCCAUUUUCNGAAUACAUUCUACAUCAAACUUAAGAUACAACUGCUUCGAUUUCUCGUAUCCCAUCAGCGCAUAUUUAUCAAUAAUACCUUGGAACCUCUCAUAGAGUGCUGGAAUUGUAAGUAUGAUAAGAAGACUGGU
This 260-nucleotide unclassified non-coding RNA is filed under the name Hevea brasiliensis (rubber tree). Lineage: Eukaryota; Viridiplantae; Streptophyta; Magnoliopsida; Malpighiales; Euphorbiaceae. The record is from RNAcentral.